This is a small nuclear RNA of Trichechus manatus latirostris (Florida manatee), 107 nucleotides long. NCBI's taxonomy places the organism in Eukaryota, Metazoa, Chordata, Mammalia, Sirenia, Trichechidae. The record is from RefSeq and is a predicted model, not a curated record.
GUGCUGGCUUUGGCAGCACAUACACUGAAACUGGAAUGAUACAGAGGAGAUCAGCAUGGUCCCUGUACAAGGAUAACACACAAAUUCGUGAUGUGUUCCAUAUUUUU